GAAAUGCGAUAAGUAAUGUGAAUUGCAGGAUUCCGUGAAUCAUCGAAUCUUUGAACGCACAUUGCGCCCUCUGGCAUUCCGGGGGGCAUGCCUGUCCGAGCGUCAUUACGCACCCUCAAGCCCGGCUUGUGUGAUGGGCCCUGGCGUCUCGUUCGCGAGACGGGCCCGAAAGGCAGCGGCGGCGUCGACCCGAUGAGCCCGAGCGUAUGGGGACUUUUGUCACACGUUUGCGGUGCGGACCGGCGCCUGCUUGACUUUUCUGAUUAUCCAGGUUGACCUCGGAUCAGGUAGGGAUACCCGCUGAACUUAAGC
This 312-nucleotide unclassified non-coding RNA is filed under the name plant metagenome. Its description in RNAcentral is "partial contains 5.8S ribosomal RNA, internal transcribed spacer 2, and large subunit ribosomal RNA". The stretch from base 1 to 105 matches the Rfam family "5.8S ribosomal RNA", at positions 50 to 154 of the family's 154-position model. The record is from RNAcentral.